Neltuma alba is the source of this 492-nucleotide long non-coding RNA. RefSeq lists it as uncharacterized. NCBI's taxonomy places the organism in Eukaryota, Viridiplantae, Streptophyta, Magnoliopsida, Fabales, Fabaceae. The transcript has 2 exons. The record is from RefSeq and is a predicted model, not a curated record.
CCGUCUGAGAGUUGAUGCAGCUGAAGUUUUUUUUUUUCCUAACCCAUUGUUUGCUUCUCUCUUAAUUCUUUCCAUGUGGAUUGGGAUUUCAGGUUUCUUUUGCAGUGACGGUACACUGCUACUUGCUUCACUUUCUAUUGUUAGAGCGUUUCUUGAGGUGAUAUGCACACUUGGAGGUACAGUAUUUGCUGGGAUUUUGCUACUGCGAGUGAUCUGGGCAGCAGUUGCUUACUUUCAGUCAAGUGGAAAUAGCUUUAACCAGGGUGGCAGCUCCUUUGGCGCCGCAGCUUAGAGCUCUCUUUACCACUCCGUAAGCUAAAAACCUCGCAUUCUUUCCUUCUGUGCUACUUGGUUACAGGCUAGAGGCCAUCAUAUCAUGUACUAUAUAUUGUAUAUCAAAUCUUUUGGGCCAACCAUUAAGAGUCUGUGGAUGUCAUUCGCAUUUUUCAUGUGAACAGUGUAUAUUAGACUUGACAAUUUAAAUUAUUUUUU